UACAGGGGGUGCAAGCGUUACUCGGAAUUAUUGGGCGUAAAGAGCGCGUAGGUGGUUUACUAAGUCUGGUGUGAAAGCCCUGGUCUCAAGCCAGGAAGUGCAUUGGAUACUGGUAGGCUAGAGUGUAGGAUGGGAUGGCGGAAUUUCCGGUGUAGAGGUGAAAUUCGUAGAUAUCGGAAGGAACAACAGUGGCGAAGGCGGCCAUCUGGACUACAACUGACACUGAGGCGCGAAAGCGUGGGGAGCAAACAGG
RNAcentral lists this ribosomal RNA (253 nucleotides) under uncultured bacterium. Its description in RNAcentral is "partial 16S ribosomal RNA". It matches the Rfam family "Bacterial small subunit ribosomal RNA", at positions 524 to 776 of the family's 1533-position model. The record is from RNAcentral.